CAGAGGUGCCGAGCGUUAGGCGGAAUCACUGGGCUUAAAGCGUGUGUAGGCGGAGUUCUAAGUACCUUGUGAAAUCCCACGGCUCAACCGUGGAACUGCUUGGUAUACUGGUUCUCUUGGGUCGUCUAGGGGCGAGCGGAACAAACGGUGGAGCGGUGAAAUGCGUAGAUAUCGUUUGGAACGCCAAUGGUGAAAACAGCUCGCUGGGGACGUACCGACGCUGAGACACGAAAGCCAGGGGAGCGAACGGGAUUAGAUACCCCGGUAGUCCUGGCUGUAAACGAUGUCGACUAGAUCGUAGUGGCUCUGACGCUAUUACGGUCGAAGCAAAAGUGCUAAGUCGACCGCCUGGGAAGUACGGUCGCAAGGCUA
This 372-nucleotide ribosomal RNA is filed under the name uncultured organism. Its description in RNAcentral is "bacterial SSU rRNA". It matches the Rfam family "Bacterial small subunit ribosomal RNA", at positions 526 to 896 of the family's 1533-position model. The record is from RNAcentral.